CCUACGGGGGGCAGCAGUGGGGAAUAUUGGGCAAUGGGCGCAAGCCUGACCCAGCAACGCCGCGUGAAGGAAGAAGGCUUUCGGGUUGUAAACUUCUUUUCUCAGGGACGAAGAAAGUGACGGUACCUGAGGAAUAAGCCCCGGCUAACUACGUGCCAGCAGCCGCGGUAAUACGUAGGUGGCAAGCGUUAUCCGGAUUUAUUGGGUGUAAGGGGCGUGUAGGCGGGAGCGCAAGUCAGAUGUGAAAACUCAGGGCUCAACCCUGAGCCUGCAUUUGAAACUGGGUUUCUUGAGUGCUGGAGGGGCAAUCGGAAUGCCGGUGGGAGCGGUGAAAUGCGUAGAUAUACGGAGGAACACCAGUGGCGAAGGCGGAUUGCUGGACAGUAACUGACGCUGAGGCGCGAAAGCGUGGGGAGCAAACAGGAUUAGAUACCCGGUAGUC
This 442-nucleotide ribosomal RNA is filed under the name uncultured bacterium. RNAcentral describes it as "partial 16S ribosomal RNA". It matches the Rfam family "Bacterial small subunit ribosomal RNA", at positions 338 to 795 of the family's 1533-position model. The record is from RNAcentral.